This is a non-coding RNA of Morchella snyderi, 97 nucleotides long. Lineage: Eukaryota; Fungi; Ascomycota; Pezizomycetes; Pezizales; Morchellaceae. The record is from the annotation of a GenBank genome assembly.
GCCCGGUUAGCUCAGUGGUAGAGCGUGUGGCUUUUACGUGAUUUAAUCAUGCAUUGGCGCUACCUCAAUGUCGCGGGUUCGACCCCCGCAUCGGGCU